UUUGGGUAGCAAUAUUCGAGAUGUUUAGCGGCGAAAGGGUGCGUAACACGUGGGCAAUUUGCCAUGAAGUUGGGGAUAACUCGCUGAAAGGCGAGCUAAUACCGAAUGUGGUUUUUGGAAGGCAUCUUCUGAAAACUGAAGUUGGGGACCGUAAGGCCUGACGCUUCAUGAUGAGCCCGCGGCCUAUCAGCUAGUUGGUGAGGUAACGGCUCACCAAGGCUAAGACGGGUAGCUGGUCUGAGAGGACGACCAGCCUCACUGGAACUGAGACACGGUCCAGACACCUACGGGUGGCAGCAGUCGAGAAUUUUUCUCAAUGGGCGAAAGCCUGAAGGAGCGACGCCGCGUGGGGGAUGAAUGGCUUCGGCCCGUAAACCCCUGUCAUUUGCGAACAAACCUUUUCAUUUAACACCUGAAAAGCUGAUUGUAGCGAAAGAGGAAGGGACGGCUAACUCUGUGCCAGCAGCCGCGGUAAUACAGAGGUCCCAAGCGUUGUUCGGAUUCACUGGGCGUAAAGGGUGCGUAGGUGGUUGGGUAAGUCUGAUGUGAAAUCUCUGAGCUCAACUCAGAAACUGCAUUGGAUACUAUCCGGCUAGAGAAUCGGAGGGGGGACUGGAAUACUUGGUGUAGCAGUGAAAUGCGUAGAUAUCAAGUGGAACACCAGUGGCGAAGGCGAGUCCCUGGACGAUUUCUGACACUG
This 700-nucleotide ribosomal RNA is filed under the name uncultured Verrucomicrobiota bacterium. RNAcentral's name for it is "bacterial SSU rRNA". It matches the Rfam family "Bacterial small subunit ribosomal RNA", at positions 71 to 748 of the family's 1533-position model. The record is from RNAcentral. Lineage: Bacteria; Pseudomonadati; Verrucomicrobiota.